Cydia pomonella (codling moth) is the source of this 4068-nucleotide long non-coding RNA. RefSeq lists it as uncharacterized. Lineage: Eukaryota; Metazoa; Arthropoda; Insecta; Lepidoptera; Tortricidae. The record is from RefSeq and is a predicted model, not a curated record. The transcript has 3 exons.
AUUUAUAUGUACUGUAAAAUUACUUGCACCGUCUGGGCUAUUAAAAUCGCUGCCAACUAACUUUAAUUUGACUCCACUUGGUUACAUAAGUUGGGGCACCGACCGUACCAUUGUUCACAGUUGACACAAGUUGAAUUUUGUAACUAAAUCUACUUAAAUAGAUUUAAUUAUAAAAAGAUUUAGAAAAAGAGCAAUUGAUCACAAUAAAUUGGAAACUUAAAAGAUAUAUUGAAAUAAUUUAAAUAAAUAAGUCCUCAAAGUUUCAAAAUUCCUUUUUAGGGUUCCGUAGCCAAGUGGCAAAAAACGAAACCCUUAUAGAUUCGUCAUGUCCGUCUGUCUGUCCGUUUAUGUCACAGCCACUUUUUUCCUAAACUACUAUAUAUAUUGUUCAAACUUGGUAAGUAGAUGUAUUCUAUGAACUGCAUUAAGAUUUUCACACAAAAAUAGAAAAAAAAAAAUUUGGGAGUUCCCCAUAUUUAGAACUGAAACUCAAAAAUUUUGUUUUCAUCAAACCCAUACGUGUGGGGUAUCUAUGGAUAGGUCUUCAAAAAUGAUAUUGAGGUUUGUAAUGUAAUUUUUUUCUAAACUGAAUAGUUUGCGCGAGAGACACUUCCAAAGUGGUAAAAUGUGUGUCCCCCCACCCCUGUAACUUCUAAAAUAAGAGAAUGAUAAACCUAAAAAAAUAUAUGAUGUACAUUACCAUUCAAACUGCCACCGAAAAUUGGUUUGAACGAGAUCUAGUAAAGUAGUUUUUUUAAUACGUCAUAAAUGGUACGGAACCCUUUAUGGGCGAGUCCGACUCGCACUUGGCCGUUUUUUUUAAAUCUAAAAACGAAAAAAAGAAUGGUGUACUAUUCUAUUCCUUAUAUAUACCUAUAGUAAACGCAUUCAUCGAGUAAAUGGCAUUUUCCUUGUUUUCCACGAAACGGCUUCCAAGCAAGAGUGAUGUCACUGGAUCACUAAUGCAGUGCACCAAUAUAGUGAAUAUGUCCACUAUAUUCGAGUAUGAGCCAUUGCUCCCUAUUUAAUUUAAUUGUCAACUAGCCUAUACUUUUGUAAACCUUAUUCCAAAGACAUAAGAUCCGUCGAUGGUCAUUCAAGAGUGUUACUGUUGGUAAGAUACACUCUCAUCUGUGAAUAGACGAGUCUUUCAAACAGACGUACCCUUUUCAUAGGCGACGGAAAGAUCCUUAUAUAGGGAAACAACGGUUCAUCUUAUAAAGUGUGCUAUUGUCAGGAAGCUUCAGAUUUUUGCAUCCUGUAAGGUCUCCGAAUGCACUACACGUAAAGUUAGUUUGAAGUAUUUUUAGGGUUCUGUACCGAAAGGGUAAAACGGGAGCCUAUUACUAAGACUCCGCUGUCCGUCUGUCUGUCUAUCUGUCCGUCUGUCACCAGACUGUCUCGUGAACCGUGAUAGCUAGAAAGUUGAACUUUUCACAAAUGAUGUAUUUCUGUUGCCGCUAUAACAACAAACCCUCGGUGGGCGAGUUCGACUCGCACUUAUCCGGUUUUGUUAUACCACGUAGGUGGAAAACAAGCAUACGACCCGCCUGAAGGUAAGCAAUCAUCGUUACCGUCAUAACGCCUAUAACACCAGAGACAUGUAGGUCACACGGGGCCACUGACUUGGGCUCGGGUAGUGAUGCGCUUGCAAUUAUGUGCAAUGCUGGGUCAGCAACGAGCGAUAUGACGCUUGUCCCCGCCGGCUCCAGUUGGUGUAUCAGCGACUCCUCAUCGCGAUUACGCUGCUGCUGCAAAACUGAGAAAAGCACCUUCAAGGGUGUUUGAACAUGUUUCUCGUGAUGAGAAGCCACCCCACGCCGAGAAAGGAUUCACACAGGCGUGAGGCGGAGAGGAGGCGUCGCAAAGCGCCUCGCAAGAGCCAGUGUGGCACUGCAGAGCUGGAUGUUGCUUCUGGCAUGAGGGUUGCCACACCGAACACGGCGCUAUAUGUAUCGCGCCUGCAUGUUUCCGCCACGGCAGAAGAUGUGGUUUAAUAUGUCCGCAAGAAGAUCCGUUACGAGCUGAAAGUAUUCCAGCUGCGAUCGGGGCAUUACGUGCACUUCAGCUCGUUUAUUAUUGUAUGUAUGUUAGUCUGUAAGGUAUGUAUAAUAUGGGCCAUAGUUGCCUGAAAAUAAAUGAUAUUUAAUUUAAUUUAAUUAUAUGCGUGUUGCCGACCCUUUAAAACCGUGUACACUUUUUUGAAGAACCCCAGACUGUAGCCCCUCGGGAAAACAUUGCUCAUUCCACAGCCGAGGCAUCCGCGGUAGGUAUUGCCACUAUGAAGAAAAAAUUUCCCAUAUUCCGUUAUAUUCCACAGGGAGAAAAUUAGGCAACUUAUUUUUGUAUUGGGAAUGAUAUUUCUCAUUUCUAAAAUGGAAACUUUCUUUCCAAAAAAAUCCGAGAAUUUCCAACGCUAAGGUACUUCUCUUCAACUUGCAUUUGCAGUAUCUACCUAAUAUUUCUGGUCUUCGCAUCGGAAUUACUACUUGUUCUUGUCCAACACGCAUUAUUAUUUCACGUUCAAUUUAAGAUAAGGUUUAUUUGAAAUCCUUAUACUCGUAAGUCAUUAUUAUUUUUAAUUUAAAACCAGCUGUACAAUCAGAGUUCGAUUCGAAUUCUUAAAUUACCUUGGAAUUUUUUUACGUCCUUAGUAAACAUGGUCUUUAGAAUAAUACUACGGGUUUAUACAUUUGCUCUGUUUAUUAUCGAUACGAGUCCAAACUACACACGUUGUUAUUUCGACAGUAAUUACAAUAACUCAGUGCCGCUCAAUUGCACACAGGAAACCGGGUCGAUCAGUCCUCUCUUUCCCCCCAUGACCAGACCUUUAACGCGUCCGGUUAGAACCAGCACCUCAAGGUCUCCAGUUACAACCAGGACCUCAAGGUCUCCAGUUAGAACCAGAACUUCAAGGCCUCAAUUUAGAACCAGCACCUCAAGGCCUCAAGUUAGAACCAGCACCUCAAGGUCUCCAGUUACAACCAGGACCUCAAGGUCUCCAGUUAGAACCAGAACCUCAAGGCCUCAACUUAGAACCAGCACCUCAAGGUCUCACGUUAGAACCAGCACCUCAAGGCCUCGGGUUACCAACGCCUUGACGACUAGACCAGGGACGCGGACGACAAAACGAACAACAACGAACCAAGGAUCAGACACGAAGACUACGAACAUAAGACGUUUCCCAAGGUGUAAAGGAUCGGCCAGGUGUGUACCUAUAUUAUUCAAUCAAGAUAUAACACCCACACGGACAGAAAAUGAUUCAACAAACACGGAAUCGUCUACGACAGAACCGACGGUAUCGACGCAAAAAAAUGGAAGGACGAUAAUUAAGUGUAGAGGAGCUGCCAAGUGUGUGCAUAUAGUUUUUUAGAAUAUCUAGACCCUGACAAAGCAUACAUUUUUUACGUCACUAUAUAGGGUUAACAUAUGUUCAUAUCCCCAAGGAUAUAAAUGCUUUCAUUACUACCACAGAUCAAACCAAGGAUAACAGAUAUCUAGUAGUGAGUAAUGCAACCAUUUAUUUUUUAUAGCCAUCUCGGUAAUUAUUGGUACACAUAAAAGCGCCGAUUUGUAUUCAAUCAAUUGAUACUAAUUAUGUUUAUUAGUGCGUGUAAUUACAUAUUAGUUAACUCUUCAUCUUCCUUGCGUUAUGAGAGCAUGGGGUCUGUUUGUCAACUAAUCCUGAGAAUUGGCGUAGGUACUAGUUUCUACAAAAGUGACUGCCAUAUAUCCGAUCUAACCGAAAGGGUAAAACUAGGCCUUAUUCGGAUUAGCCCGGUUUCCACACGAUGUUUUCCUUCACCGAAAAGCGACUGGUAAAUAUCAAAUUGUAUUUCGUACAUAAGCUCCGAAAACCUCAGUGGUACGAGCCGAGGUUUGAACCCGCGACCCCCGGAAUGAAAGACGCCCGCCACUAGGUACGAGUACAUUUAAGUUAACAAUCAGUAAAAAGUGGAAUCGAAAAAAAUGAUGUUCGUAGGGCCACCCUAUAUUCAUUGGUUGAAGAGUUUGUUGAUAAAAUAUGUUUCUACUAUACUUAUGAUUUCUAAACUAGGUUAGUCGGUA